Mauremys mutica (yellowpond turtle) is the source of this 373-nucleotide long non-coding RNA. RefSeq lists it as uncharacterized. The transcript is spliced from 3 exons. Lineage: Eukaryota; Metazoa; Chordata; Testudines; Geoemydidae. The record is from RefSeq and is a predicted model, not a curated record.
GCUCAGACUUCAGGCUCUGCAAUCUGACUGUCCAUCCAUUACGAAAAGUGCCAAUGGAAUUUGAAAGAUGAAUAUUAGCGGCUUUGUUGGAGUUCUGUAAGCCUUAAUGUGUGCAUCUGAGUGACUGGAACGGCUCUCAAGGUUAAUUACUAAACUAACGAGAGGUCUUGACUCAUCUGGAGCUGAUGAAGACCACUGCACUUACUUCCCAAAUUUACUAACCAAACACAAUUAUGUUGCUUGUCACAAAUGUCUUGACUAAUAGCAUAUGCACAUCGUGUCCUGGCAUGCAACCUCACACCCAUCUCUCCCUGGCAAACAGACUCUCACAUACCACAGAAUAGGAGCUGGUGCAUGAAGGGGAACAGUGCCA